RNAcentral lists this ribosomal RNA (460 nucleotides) under uncultured bacterium. Its description in RNAcentral is "partial 16S ribosomal RNA". It matches the Rfam family "Bacterial small subunit ribosomal RNA", at positions 338 to 795 of the family's 1533-position model. The record is from RNAcentral.
CCUACGGGAGGCAGCAGUGAGGAAUAUUGGUCAAUGGACGCAAGUCUGAACCAGCCAUGCCGCGUGCAGGAAGACGGCUCUAUGAGUUGUAAACUGCUUUUGUACGAGGGUAAACGCAGAUACGCGUCUCUGCCUGAAAGUAUCGCACGAAUAAGGAUCGGCUAACUCCGUGCCAGCAGCCGCGGUAAUACGGAGGGUUCAAGCGUUAUCCGGAGUUAUUGGGGUUAAAGGGUGCGUAGGCGGUCGAAUAAGUUAGAUGUGAAAUCCCGAGGCUCAACCUCGGAAUUGCCUCUGAUACUGUUCGGCUAGAGAGUAGAUGCGGUAGGCGGAAUGUAUGGUGUAGCGGUGAAAUGCUUAGAGAUCAUACAGAACACCGAUUGCGAAGGCAGCUUACCAAGCUACUUCUGACGUUGAGGCACGAAAGCGUGGGGAGCGAACAGGAUUAGAUACCCUUGUAGUC